RNAcentral lists this ribosomal RNA (468 nucleotides) under uncultured bacterium. RNAcentral's name for it is "partial 16S ribosomal RNA". It matches the Rfam family "Bacterial small subunit ribosomal RNA", at positions 28 to 507 of the family's 1533-position model. The record is from RNAcentral.
GACGAACGCUGGCGGCGUGCUUAACACAUGCAAGUCGAACGGAAAGGCCCUGCUUUUGUGGGGUGCUCGAGUGGCGAACGGGUGAGUAACACGUGAGUAACCUGCCCUUGACUUUGGGAUAACUUCAGGAAACUGGGGCUAAUACCGGAUAGGAGCUCCUGCUGCAUGGUGGGGGUUGGAAAGUUUCGGCGGUUGGGGAUGGACUCGCGGCUUAUCAGCUUGUUGGUGGGGUAGUGGCUUACCAAGGCUUUGACGGGUAGCCGGCCUGGGAGGGUGACCGGCCACAUUGGGACUGAGAUACGGCCCAGACUCCUACGGGAGGCAGCAGUGGGGAAUAUUGCACAAUGGGCGGAAGCCUAAUGCAGCAACGCCGCGUGCGGGAUGACGGCCUUCGGGUUGUAAACCGCUUUCGCCUGUGACGAAGCGUGAGUGACGGUAAUGGGUAAAGAAGCACCGGCUAACUACGUG